Small nuclear RNA from Gorilla gorilla gorilla (western lowland gorilla), 105 nucleotides. NCBI's taxonomy places the organism in Eukaryota, Metazoa, Chordata, Mammalia, Primates, Hominidae. The record is from Ensembl.
GUUUGCUUCAGCAGGACAUAUACUAAAAUAGGAGCUAUACAAAGAAGAUUAGCAUGGACCCUGUGCAAGAAUGACACACAAAUUUGUGAAACAUUCCAUAUAUUA